Molecule: long non-coding RNA, 1187 nt
Filed under: Homo sapiens (human)
Lineage: Eukaryota; Metazoa; Chordata; Mammalia; Primates; Hominidae
Description: family with sequence similarity 138 member D
Source: RNAcentral
CACACAACGGGGUUUCGGGGCUGUGGACCCUGUGCCAGGAAAGGAAGGGCGCAGCUCCUGCAAUGCGGAGCAGCCAGGGCAGUGGGCACCAGGCUUUAGCCUCCCUUUCUCACCCUACAGAGGGCAGGCCCUUCAGCUCCAUUCUCCUCCAAGGCUGCAGAGGGGGCAGGAAUUGGGGGUGACAGGAGAGCUGUAAGGUCUCCAGUGGGUCAUUCUGGGCCCAGAGAUGGGUGCUGAAGCUCCCACACCUGCCUGUGAAAAUGGAUUCCUCUCUCACCUGGGAGAGCCAGGUGCUGCCCCGAGAAGGAUGCAUUUAUGGCUUCAUGAAGUCUUUCCUGACCCCCGAUGCUGCUGACUAUAGAGACAAAGUCUCACUAUGUUGCUCAGGCUGGUCUUGAACUCCUGGCCUCAAGCGAUCCUCCCACCUUAGCCUCCCAAAGUGUUGGGAUUAUAGACAUGAGCCACUGCACCUGGCCAACCUUGGGCAAGUUCUUAAACCCUUCAAAGCCUCAUUUUUCUCCAAUCAUAAAAGGGAAAGAUGGUAAUAUUUUCCCCGCCAAAUUCUUGUCGGAUGCCCUCACAGAAUUGAGAUUAUGUACGUAAAACACCAGGUGCCUAACCCGGCACAGAGCAGGAGGGCUAAGCGUGACAUCCAGCAUGUGGUCAGUGGAAUCCAGUAUUCCUACCCACCUCUCUAGUCUCCCCUCCACCCCUCUCCCUUUCAGAGGCACCAAGCUGCUUGUGGUCUUGUCUAUUCCCACUCCCUGCCCGACUGAACAUUUUCUCUACCUCCUGAUCAUCAGCAGCAGAAACUGGCUGCUCUUCCUCCUGGGUAGACAGCCAGACUGUAUUUCCCAGCUGCCCCUGCAGUGAGAUGUGGCCAUCGGAGCCAGCAUUGGCCAAUGGACUCUGCAUGGGAGUGACGCAUGCUGCCUCCAGGCUUGUCUCUAAAACCUCCCACGUGUCCUCCACCUGCUCUUCCCACCUCCAAGGAGCACGGCAAUUGUGGAAGACCCAGAUUAGUGAUGGCAGAACCAUAGAUGGGAGGAACCUGGGUCCCUGACUUAAAGUAUCAUGGAUUUGGAUGUUCCCUUAGUGAGAAAUAAACUUCCAUUGUGUUUAAGCCUUUAUUUGUUUAUAGUUGGUUACAGCAACUGCCUUCUUUUAAUUAAAACACUCCUGCUGCU